RNAcentral lists this non-coding RNA (23 nucleotides) under Cricetulus griseus (Chinese hamster). Lineage: Eukaryota; Metazoa; Chordata; Mammalia; Rodentia; Cricetidae. The record is from RNAcentral.
ACGGGACUCAGCAGUGAUAAAAA